GUAGGGCAUGGUGGUGCAUGCCUGUAAUCCCAGCAACUCUGGAGGCUGAGGCCAGAAGAUCACAAGUUCAAGGCCAGCCCCAGCAAUUUAAUAAGGUCCUGAGUAACUUAGUGAGAUCCUGUCUCAA
This 127-nucleotide small RNA is filed under the name Marmota monax (woodchuck). Lineage: Eukaryota; Metazoa; Chordata; Mammalia; Rodentia; Sciuridae. The record is from RNAcentral.